This 496-nucleotide ribosomal RNA is filed under the name uncultured bacterium. RNAcentral describes it as "partial 16S ribosomal RNA". It matches the Rfam family "Bacterial small subunit ribosomal RNA", at positions 30 to 523 of the family's 1533-position model. The record is from RNAcentral.
AUUGAACGCUGGCGGAAUGCUUUACACAUGCAAGUCGAACGGUAGAGGGGGCAACCCCUCGAGAGUGGCGAACGGGUGAGUAAUAUAUCGGAACGUGCCCAGUCGUGGGGGAUAACGUAGCGAAAGUUACGCUAAUACCGCAUACGAUCUAAGGAUGAAAGCGGGGGACCGUAAGGCCUCGCGCGAUUGGAGCGGCCGAUAUCAGAUUAGGUAGUUGGUGAGGUAAAGGCUCACCAAGACACCGAUCUGUAGCUGGUCUGAGAGGACGACCAGCCACACUGGAACUGAGACACGGUCCAGACUCCUACGGGAGGCAGCAGUGGGGAAUUUUGGACAAUGGACGCAAGUCUGAUCCAGCCAUUCCGCGUGCAGGAUGAAGGCCCUCGGGUUGUAAACUGCUUUUGUACGGAACGAAAAGGUCUCUCCUAAUACGAGGGGCUCAUGACGGUACCGUAAGAAUAAGCACCGGCUAACUACGUGCCAGCAGCCGCGGUAA